UGUCAGCCGCCGCGGUAAUACGGAGGGUGCAAGCGUUAAUCGGAAUUACUGGGCGUAAAGCGUAUGUAGGCGGUUUGAUCAGUCGGAUGUGAAAUCCCCGAGCUUAACUUGGGAAUGGCAUUCGAAACUAUCAAGCUAGAGUAGGCUAGAGGAAAGGGGAAUUCCGCGUGUAGCAGUGAAAUGCGUAGAUAUGCGGAGGAACACCAAUGGCGAAGGCACCUUUCUGGGGUCAUACUGACGCUGAGAUACGAAAGCGUGGGGAGCAAACAGGAUUAGAUACCCUGGUAGUCCACGCCCUAAACGAUGUCAACUAGUUGUUAGGAGGGUUUAACCUUUCGGUGACGAAGCUAACGUAUUAAGUUGACCGCCUGGGGAGUACGGCCGCAAGGUUGAAACUCAAAGAAAUUGACGG
This 412-nucleotide ribosomal RNA is filed under the name uncultured Halothiobacillaceae bacterium. RNAcentral's name for it is "bacterial SSU rRNA". It matches the Rfam family "Bacterial small subunit ribosomal RNA", at positions 506 to 916 of the family's 1533-position model. The record is from RNAcentral. Lineage: Bacteria; Pseudomonadati; Pseudomonadota; Gammaproteobacteria; Chromatiales; Halothiobacillaceae.